This 699-nucleotide ribosomal RNA is filed under the name Staphylococcus aureus. RNAcentral's name for it is "partial 23S ribosomal RNA". It matches the Rfam family "Bacterial large subunit ribosomal RNA", at positions 1582 to 2282 of the family's 2925-position model. The record is from RNAcentral. Lineage: Bacteria; Bacillati; Bacillota; Bacilli; Caryophanales; Staphylococcaceae.
GUCUUCGAGUCGUUGAUUUCACACUGCCGAGAAAAGCCUCUAGAUAGAAAAUAGGUGCCCGUACCGCAAACCGACACAGGUAGUCAAGAUGAGAAUUCUAAGGUGAGCGAGCGAACUCUCGUUAAGGAACUCGGCAAAAUGACCCCGUAACUUCGGGAGAAGGGGUGCUCUUUAGGGUUAACGCCCAGAAGAGCCGCAGUGAAUAGGCCCAAGCGACUGUUUAUCAAAAACACAGGUCUCUGCUAAACCGUAAGGUGAUGUAUAGGGGCUGACGCCUGCCCGGUGCUGGAAGGUUAAGAGGAGUGGUUAGCUUCUGCGAAGCUACGAAUCGAAGCCCCAGUAAACGGCGGCCGUAACUAUAACGGUCCUAAGGUAGCGAAAUUCCUUGUCGGGUAAGUUCCGACCCGCACGAAAGGCGUAACGAUUUGGGCACUGUCUCAACGAGAGACUCGGUGAAAUCAUAGUACCUGUGAAGAUGCAGGUUACCCGCGACAGGACGGAAAGACCCCGUGGAGCUUUACUGUAGCCUGAUAUUGAAAUUCGGCACAGCUUGUACAGGAUAGGUAGGAGCCUUUGAAACGUGAGCGCUAGCUUACGUGGAGGCGCUGGUGGGAUACUACCCUAGCUGUGUUGGCUUUCUAACCCGCACCACUUAUCGUGGUGGGAGACAGUGUCAGGCGGGCAGUUUGACUGGGGCGG